Non-coding RNA from Esox lucius (northern pike), 686 nucleotides. The record is from the annotation of a RefSeq genome assembly. NCBI's taxonomy places the organism in Eukaryota, Metazoa, Chordata, Actinopteri, Esociformes, Esocidae.
CUUCAACACAACAGAAACUACAUCAACAAUGACUCUGGUCACCAUUUUCAUCUGGACACUGGUCUGCUUCUGCUUCAGAGGAUCCAGAGGUCAGGUGACUGUGACUCAGCCUCCUGUAGUGACCUUUUCUCCAGGAGACACUGUCACUCUGACCUGUAGAACCAACCCUGCAGUUUACAAAUGGAGUAGUGGAGAUGAGGGUGCGUUCUGGUAUCAACAGAGAUCUGGAGAAGCUCCUAAACUCCUGAUAAAAUAUGCAAAGACAAGGAUAGAUGGGAUUCCUGCUAGAUUCAGUGGCAGUGGGUCUGGGAGUGACUUCAGUCUGACCAUCAGUGGAGUCCAGGCUGAAGAUGCAGCAGUUUACUACUGUCAGAGUUAUCACAGUGGUAAUGUGUUCACACAGUGAUUUAGAGCCGUACAAAAACCUCCUGCACCAAAUGACACACAUCACUGUUGACAUGUCUGAAUGUCCCCUCAAUGCUUGGUUGGUCUACCAGACACACAGGUGUCCCUCAUUUUCACAAAGAUGUUGAUCUGCAUGAACUCUCUCUCAGAAUAGAGUAGGACACUCCCCAAGUGAUCAACAUCCACUGACAUGACAACAGAGUCUUUUAUUUAACUUUGACAUUUCCACUGAAUUCUCAUUCUGCUGAAUCACUGUUAUGAUAGGAUACUACUUUAUUGGU